AUUGAACGCUGGCGGCAGGCCUAACACAUGCAAGUCGAACGAGUGGCGGACGGGUGAGUAAUGUCUGGGAAACUGCCUGAUGGAGGGGGAUAACUCCUGGAAACGGUAGCUAAUACCGCAUACCAUCGGAUGUGCACAGAUGGGAUUAGCUAGUAGGGGGGGUAACGGCUCACCUAGGCGACGAUCCCUAGCUGGUCUGAGAGUCUGACCAGCAAACCUGGAACUGAGACAUGGUGCAGACUCCUACGGGAGGCAGCAGUGGGGAAUAUUGCACAAUGGGCGCAAGCCUGAUGCAGCAAUGCCGCGUGUAUGAAGAAGGCCUUCGGGUUGUAAAGUACUUUCAGCGGGGAGGCGUUACCCGCAGAAGAAGCACCGGCUAACUCCGUGCCAGCAGCCGCGGUAAUAC
This 406-nucleotide ribosomal RNA is filed under the name uncultured bacterium. RNAcentral's name for it is "partial 16S ribosomal RNA". It matches the Rfam family "Bacterial small subunit ribosomal RNA", at positions 30 to 526 of the family's 1533-position model. The record is from RNAcentral.